UUUAAGAGUUUGAUCCUAGCUCAGGAUGAACGCUGGCGGCGUGUUUAAGGCAUGCAAGUCGUACGUAGCCGAUGCGCAGCACCGGAAAUUCGAAAUUCGAAAUUCGAAAUUCGAAACAAAUACCAAAUUUCAAUUUUCAAAUAUCACAAACACGUUUUGAACAUUGUAAUUUUGGUCAUUAGAAUUUGUUUCGGAUUUAGGAUUUUGUGCUUCGUGCUUCCGCUGCUGUGCAGCGGUUUAGUGGCAAACGGGUGAGUAACACACUGGUAACCUACCUUUGAGACGAGGAUAGCUCUCCGAAAGGAGAAUUAAUACUCGAUGGAAAUGCGGGGACAUAAGUCAUUCGUAUUUAAAGUCGCAAGACGCUCAAAGAGGGGCCUAUGUCUGAUUAGCUAGUUGGUGAGGUAAUGGCCCACCAAGGCUUCGAUCAGUAGCAGGCGUGAGAGCGUGACCUGCCUCACUGGGACUGAGACACUGCCCAGACUCCUACGGGAGGCUGCAGUCAAGAAUCUUCCACAAUGGGCGAAAGCCUGAUGGAGCGACGCCGCGUGCAGGAUGAAGGCCUUCGGGUCGUAAACUGCUUUUAUGGGGGAAGAAUUUGUGACGGUACCCCAAGAAUAAGAGGUUGCUAACUCUGUGCCAGCAGCAGCGGUAAUACAGAGACCUCAAGUGUUAUCCGGAUUUAUUGGGCGUAAAGCGUCCGCAGAUUGUUUAACGGGUCAGGAGUCAAAACUCAGUGCUUAACAUUGGGAUUGCUUUUGAAACUAUUAGACUAGAGGAUGGAAGAGG
This 789-nucleotide ribosomal RNA is filed under the name Candidatus Magasanikbacteria bacterium GW2011_GWA2_40_10. RNAcentral describes it as "bacterial SSU rRNA". It matches the Rfam family "Bacterial small subunit ribosomal RNA", at positions 1 to 657 of the family's 1533-position model. Lineage: Bacteria; Candidatus Magasanikiibacteriota. The record is from RNAcentral.